CCUACGGGUGGCUGCAGUGGGGAAUAUUGCACAAUGGGGGAAACCCUGAUGCAGCAACGCCGCGUGAAGGAAGACGGUUUUCGGAUUGUAAACUUCUGUUCUUAGGGAAGAAGAAUGACGGUAGCUAAGGAGCAAGCCACGGCUAACUACGGGACAGCAGCCGCGGUAAUACGUAGGUGGCAAGCGUUGUCCGGAAUUACUGGGUGUAAAGGGAGCGCAGGCGGGAAGCCAAGUCAGCUGUGAAAACUACGGGCUUAACGUGUAGACUGCAGUUGAAACUGGUUUUCUUGAGUGAAGGAGAGGUGGGCGGAAUGCGUGGUGUAGCGGUGAAAUGCGUAGAUAUUCGGAGGAACACCGGUGGCGAAGGCGGCUUACGGGCCCGUAACUGACGUUGAGGCUCGAAAGCGUGGGGAGCAAACAGGAUUAGAUACCCUUGUAGUC
This 441-nucleotide ribosomal RNA is filed under the name uncultured bacterium. Its description in RNAcentral is "partial 16S ribosomal RNA". It matches the Rfam family "Bacterial small subunit ribosomal RNA", at positions 338 to 795 of the family's 1533-position model. The record is from RNAcentral.